This is a non-coding RNA of Gopherus flavomarginatus (Mexican gopher tortoise), 1058 nucleotides long. The record is from the annotation of a RefSeq genome assembly. Lineage: Eukaryota; Metazoa; Chordata; Testudines; Testudinidae.
CAGCCUGGACCCACCUGCCCUUCCCCCCUCCCUAGUGAUGCGAAAGGGGCAGUAGCAGGGACAGGCAGGGGGCGCCCGGCACAGUCACUCCAGAGACCCUCGGCCCUGCGCCUCUUAAAGAGACAGUGACAGAGGUUAGAACAAUUGGCCGGUCCAGACCUCCGCUCAACCUCCGCUAGGGAGCAGCAUCGCGCGCAGGGCGCUGCUGGGUGCCACUGUUGUGUGUGUUGCAGGGGCUAGAGAGAGAGACUGCGCGUGCACACACAGAUGGGGACACACGCAGUAAGAUGGGCACACACACUCGGAUCCAGAGGAGGACACACACACACACAGAUAUAGGCAGGCGCGCACACACACACACACACAAAGGUACGAAUAAACACACACACACUUUCCCACCCUAGCUCCGGAUCCCCAGUUCAAACAGAAGCGGCCUCACCCCCCGGCACUUCAUUUCCCCCCAGAAGUCGAAUCGGUGGCGGCGGUUCAUUGUCUUUCCCCAGUGGUUACAGAAAUGGGGGGAUCUCUGUGGCUGUGUCUCUGCGCGCUGCCGCUGUUCCCAGGUUCGGUGGCGGGGAACUCGCUAAUCCAGAUCCCGCCUUCCCUGCCAGCCACGGAAGGGCAGCGAGUGGAGAUCAGGUGUCAAUACAGCACCUCCUACACCAGCUAUGCCCUGGACUGGUACCAGGAGCAGCUGGGGCAGCAGCCUCGCUUCCUAAUCGGGAGGUUUUCCUACGGCUCGGAGCGCAAAUCCGAUUCUGUGGCACCUCGGUUCUCCGUGCGGCUGGACACGGGAGCGAAGACUUUCAAGCUAACCAUAGAGGGGGCGCAGCGGGCUGACUCGGCGGUGUAUUUCUGUGCUCUCUGGGAGCCACCGUGCUGCAGAGCGCACCGCGAUCCGGACACAAACUGCCGCGGGGGCGCAGGUGUCUGAAAGGCGGUUCAGUGCAGUUCCAGCUCAGCCCAAGUCUGCACGUGGAGAGACACUUCCGAGCUCCUGGAAAAGCGGUUUUGGAGGACGCAGGCUCCACUGAGGAGAUGAGAGGCGUGGCAGACGA